CGGGGAGUGGCGCAACUUGGCCAGCGCGCACGGUUCGGGUCCGUGAGGUUGCGGGUUCAAAUCCCGCCUCCCCGACCA
RNAcentral lists this transfer RNA (78 nucleotides) under bacterium. Its description in RNAcentral is "tRNA-Pro". It matches the Rfam family "tRNA". From Rfam's summary of the family: Transfer RNA (tRNA) molecules are approximately 80 nucleotides in length. The record is from RNAcentral. RNAcentral also lists the same sequence under 4 other names.